AAAAACCCAGGUGGUGUGAGAUGGAUCCGCGUCUGAUUAGCCAGUUGGCGGGGUAACGGCCCACCAAAGCGACGAUCAGUAGCCGACCUGAGAGGGUGACCGGCCACAUUGGGACUGAGACACGGCCCAAACUCCUACGGGAGGCAGCAGUGGGGAAUAUUGCACAAUGGGCGGAAGCCUGAUGCAGCGACGCCGCGUGAGUGAAGAAGUAUCUCGGUAUGUAAAGCUCUAUCAGCAGGGAAGAAAAUGACGGUACCUGACUAAGAAGCCCCGGCUAACUACGUGCCAGCAGCCGCGGUAAUACGUAGGGGGCAAGCGUUAUCCGGAUUUACUGGGUGUAAAGGGAGCGUAGACGGCGACGCAAGUCUGGAGUGAAAGCCCGGGGCCCAACCCCGGGACUGCUUUGGAAACUGUGCUGCUGGAGUGCAGGAGAGGUAAGUGGAAUUCCUAGUGUAGCGGUGAAAUGCGUAGAUAUUAGGAGGAACACCAGUGGCGAAGGCGGCUUACUGGACUGUAACUGACGUUGAGGCUCGAAAGCGUGGGGAGCAAACAGGAUUAGAUACCCUGGUAGUCCACGCCGUAAAC
RNAcentral lists this ribosomal RNA (585 nucleotides) under uncultured bacterium. RNAcentral's name for it is "bacterial SSU rRNA". It matches the Rfam family "Bacterial small subunit ribosomal RNA", at positions 202 to 807 of the family's 1533-position model. The record is from RNAcentral.